Molecule: long non-coding RNA, 1164 nt
Filed under: Anas platyrhynchos platyrhynchos (common mallard)
Lineage: Eukaryota; Metazoa; Chordata; Aves; Anseriformes; Anatidae
Description: lncRNA (ENSAPLG00000016923.1)
Source: RNAcentral
GUAAAAACUGAGGAAUAGACAAGAAAAGGUAUAAAAGGGGCCAGCUUGGUGGAAAAUGGAGCUGGUCUGUUGGGCUUGUCUGCCCCAUUUUCUUUUUCUUUUGCCUCCGGUGGCACCUUUUAACCUUAUAUUUGCCUCCAGGGUCUAUGCAGAAGCCCCUGGCUCCCUGGCUGCUCAGGCUUAGCACCCACCAGCGCUGCUUCCCCAGCAUUUUGUAGCCUUGUUGGCAUCCACACACGGCACUGAAGCUGUUAUGUGCUGAACACACGUCCGAAAUCAUGGUUACAUGAUCGUGGUUGUACCUCCGGCUGCUUUCAGGAGCAGCAAUGUCUGCUUAAUCCUCUCCUCAGCAGCAGGAUGGGGAAAAAGCUAAAAAUAACGCAAGGGUUAUUUUUAUGCUCCGAACCAACCCAAAUAAUGACCUCACGGCUCUGCUAACUUGUUAGGCCACUCGAUCCUCGGGCAAUGCGUCUCCAAAACCAGGGCUUGGAGUUACUGCCUAUAAAUAGCCAGCUUGUUUGUUUGUUUGCUUCCUCAGCUUCUCCGCCAGCUCCAAGAAUUCGUUGAGAAAAGCAGCGCAGCGGGCGAGCAAAGCACCCAGACGCCCGGUGCAGGACGUCCCUUGAUGUACUCCGAUUGCAUAAAUUGAAUUUUCCCGGCCCAAAUCUGCCAGCUUUCUUGGAGAAAAGGCUGCGGGCAUUCCUCACCGUUGACCUUACGCUCUGAGAGCUGAAAUUCCCCCAAAACCACGGAUCCCAGAGGACAAGACCCAGAGCAACCCCGAGGCAGAAACCCCCUCUGUGGUUUCAUCGCUGCCUUCCCAUCGCCCUACGUGGAAAUGGAGCUGAAAUUCCAAAAAAAAAAACCGUCGGAGAUCCCCUGCUGAGCCAAGCAGCCCCUCCACCUCUCCCUCAUCUCCCGUGGGACUUCUUGGAGGUGAAGUCCUGCCUGAUGAAACACGGAGAAAAUCCUCUCAUCGAGCCCAGGAGCAGCUUUUUGGAAGCCCCUCCAGCCAGGUGCCUCUUCUAGACACAAAACUAGAGCAGGGAUGCUAACCUGACGGGAAAUCACUCCACCUGGCAAAUCGGAUCUUUAAAAACAGUUCCUAGCAACCUUUGGUACUCACCAUAUGCAAAUAAAGCUGAUGAACCAAACCCUGAGACA